This 497-nucleotide ribosomal RNA is filed under the name uncultured bacterium. Its description in RNAcentral is "partial 16S ribosomal RNA". It matches the Rfam family "Bacterial small subunit ribosomal RNA", at positions 28 to 507 of the family's 1533-position model. The record is from RNAcentral.
GAUGAACGCUGGCGGCGUGCCUAAUACAUGCAAGUCGAGCGAACGGACGAGAAGCUUGCUUCUCUGAUGUUAGCGGCGGACGGGUGAGUAACACGUGGAUAACCUACCUAUAAGACUGGGAUAACUUCGGGAAACCGUAGCUAAUACCGGAUAAUAUUUUGAACCGCAUGGUUCAAAAGUGAAAGACGGUCUUGCUGUCACUUAUAGAUGGAUCCGCGCUGCAUUAGCUAGUUGGUAAGGUAACGGCUUACCAAGGCAACGAUGCAUAGCCGACCUGAGAGAGUGAUCGGCCACACUGGAACUGAGACACGGUCCAGACUCCUACGGGAGGCAGCAGUAGGGAAUCUUCCGCAAUGGGCGAAAACCUGACGGAGCAACGCCGCGUGAGUGAUGAAGGUCUUCGGAUCGUAAAACUCUGUUAUUAGGGAAGAACAUAUGUGUAAGUAACUGUGCACAUCUUGACGGUACCUAAUCAGAAAGCCACGGCUAACUACGUG